AGCGGAGGAAAGAACUAACAAGGAUUACCUCAGUAGCGGCGAGCGAAGCGGUAAAAGCUCAAAAUGAAAAUCUGUGGCGGAAACGUCACAGAGUUGUAAAUUAUAGAAUCAUGCAGAAGGCGUGACAGUCGCAGAAGUCUCUGGAACGAGGCAGCAAAGAGGGUGAAACUCCCGUAUUCGGCGACGAGUCAGCUGUAUGUGUGGUUUCGAAGAGUCGUGUUGCUUGGGACUGCAGCACUAAUUGGGAGAUAAACUUCUUCUAAAGCUAAAUAUUUAUGGGAAACCGAUAGCGAACAAGUACUGCGAAGGAAAGAUGAAAAGAACUUUGAAAAGAGGGUUAAAAGACUUGAAAUCGUUGAAAAGGAAGCGGUAGAAGAAAAGCAUUGGUGAGACGUUUGCUAUGUGACAGCCGGCCUGUCUUCCGUUCAGUACUUAAUCGGCUAGCGGGGGGCAAAGCAACGGUUGUCUGUGGCUUUUUCUUAUCAAAAGGCAAAAUGAGGUUUUUCUGUGAGAAUAACUGUUGAAGAAGACCCUUCAUUGGAGCUUCGGCAGAAAGUCACAGAUUAGCCUGAGGGUGCAUUGCGAUUUUGUCGAAAAAGCUUCUACUGACCCGUCUUGAAACACGGACCAAGGAGUCUAACACGUAUGCGAGUCUGCGGGUUCAAAAACCCAUAGGCGAAAUGAAAGUGAGUAUAAGGUGCGAAUCGCAAGACUCAGCACCGACCCACCUUGAUCUUCUGAGAAGGGUUGGAGUAAGAGCAUACUUGUUAGGACCCGAAAGAUGGUGAACUAUUCUUGAGUAGGGUGAAGCCAGGGGAAACUCUGGUGGAGGCUCGUAGCGAUACUGACGUGCAAAUCGUUCGUCAAACUUGAGUAUAGGGGCGAUAGACUAAUCGAACCAUCUAGUAGCUGGUUCCCUCUGAAGUUUCUCUCAGGAUAGCUGGAACAAUGAAGCAGUUUUAUCAGGUAAAGCGAAUGAUUAGAGGAAUUGGGGAUCAAAGAUUCUCGACCUAUUCUCAAACUUUAAAUUGGUAAGAACCUUUGGUUUUCUUAACUGAACCAGGGGGUAGAAUGCUUGUUUCAAGUGGGCCAUUUUUGGUAAGCAGAACUGGCGAUGAGGGAUGAACCUAACGCUGAGCUAAGGCGCCCAAAUUCUCGCUCAUCAGAUACCAUAAAAGGUGUUGAUUCAUUUAGACAGCAGGACGGUGGCCCUGGAAGUCGGAACCCGCU
RNAcentral lists this ribosomal RNA (1230 nucleotides) under Hexasterias problematica. RNAcentral's name for it is "eukaryotic LSU rRNA". It matches the Rfam family "Eukaryotic large subunit ribosomal RNA", at positions 49 to 1272 of the family's 3401-position model. Lineage: Eukaryota; Ciliophora; Prostomatea; Prorodontida. The record is from RNAcentral.